Molecule: long non-coding RNA, 219 nt
Filed under: Homo sapiens (human)
Lineage: Eukaryota; Metazoa; Chordata; Mammalia; Primates; Hominidae
Description: non-protein coding lnc-SNED1-1:1
Source: RNAcentral
CUUCAGGAGCCCCCAGUGCAAAGCCCAGGGGCUGGCAGGGGCCCACGGCGCAGGGCAGACAGCCUGGCCAAGGAACAGGCCAGCGUGUACACCAAGCUGUGUGGUGUACACACCCCGCACCCGGUGGAGGCCAUGAUGGGGCACUUCCCGCAGCUCCUGGACCCGCAGCAGCUGGCUGCCGAGAUCUUCUCAUACAAGUCCCAGCACCCCAGUGAGUAA